Molecule: unclassified non-coding RNA, 331 nt
Filed under: soil metagenome
Description: partial contains 5.8S ribosomal RNA, internal transcribed spacer 2, and large subunit ribosomal RNA
Rfam family: 5.8S ribosomal RNA (bases 1-120)
Source: RNAcentral
GAUGAAGAACGUAGCGAAAUGCGAUAAGUAAUGUGAAUUGCAGAAUUCAGUGAAUCAUCGAAUCUUUGAACGCACAUUGCGCCCCCUGGUAUUCCGGGGGGCAUGCCUGUUCGAGCGUCAUUUCACCACUCAAGCCUAGCUUGGUAUUGGGCAACGCGGUCCGCCGCGUGCCUCAAAUCGACCGGCUGGGUCUUCUGUCCCCUAAGCGUUGUGGAAACUAUUCGCUAAAGGGUGUUCGGGAGGCUACGCCGUAAAACAACCCCAUUUCUAAGGUUGACCUCGGAUCAGGUAGGGAUACCCGCUGAACUUAAGCAUAUCAAUAAGCGGAGGA